ACGUAGGGGGCGAGCGUUGUCCGGAAUGACUGGGCGUAAAGGGCGCGUAGACGGUUUUUUAAGUCUGGAGUGAAAGUCCUGCUUUCAAGGUGGGAAUUGCUUUGGAGACUGGAAGACUUGAGUGCGGAAGAGGUAAGUGGAAUUCCCAGUGUGGCGGUGAACUGCGUAGAGAUUGGGAAGAAGGCGAGAGGGGGAGGGGAGCGAAUAGGACGAGACUGACUUUUAGGCGGGUAAGCGUGGUGAGAGAAGAG
RNAcentral lists this ribosomal RNA (251 nucleotides) under uncultured prokaryote. RNAcentral's name for it is "partial 16S rRNA". It matches the Rfam family "Bacterial small subunit ribosomal RNA", at positions 525 to 775 of the family's 1533-position model. The record is from RNAcentral.